GAGUUUGAUCCUGGCUCAGAUUGAACGCUGGCGGCACGCCUAACACAUGCAAGUCGAACGGUAACGCGGGGGCAACCCUGGCGACGAGUGGCGGACGGGUGAGUAAUACGUAGGAAUCUGCCCAUUUGUGGGGGAUAACCCGGCGAAAACCGGGCUAAUACCGCAUACGCUCUACGGAGGAAAGCGGGGGAUCGUAAGACCUCGCGCUAAUGGAUGAGCCUACGUCGGAUUAGCUAGUUGGUAGGGUAACGGCCUACCAAGGCGACGAUCCGUAGCUGGUCUGAGAGGACGAUCAGCCACACUGGGACUGAGACACGGCCCAGACUCCUACGGGAGGCAGCAGUGGGGAAUAUUGGACAAUGGGGGCAACCCUGAUCCAGCAAUGCCGCGUGUGUGAAGAAGGCCUGCGGGUUGUAAAGCACUUUCAGAGGGGAAGAAAAAUCGGAUCUAACACAUCCGAGCUUGACGUUACCCUUAGAAGAAGCACCGGCUAACUCCGUGCCAGCAGCCGCCGU
This 515-nucleotide ribosomal RNA is filed under the name uncultured Gammaproteobacteria bacterium. Its description in RNAcentral is "bacterial SSU rRNA". It matches the Rfam family "Bacterial small subunit ribosomal RNA", at positions 9 to 521 of the family's 1533-position model. The record is from RNAcentral. Lineage: Bacteria; Pseudomonadati; Pseudomonadota; Gammaproteobacteria.